AUGGCCCCGGCCUCGGCCCUCGGGAAGACGUCCCGCAGGAUGUCGCUCAUGGACGACGGCACGCUCAAGGAGCCGGUGGUGUUCAAGCUCUGCCUGUACCGCUCCGGCGAGGGGUGGCGCUCCAGAAUGGUGCAGGUGGCGGAGCCGCGGAGGGACAGGGUGUGCCCGGUGGCGGGGGCGGGGCGGUACCAUGAGACGACCAAGGCGAUCACGCUCGGAGGCCCGCGCGGUACGGUCGGCUGGGUCGACCUCUGCCGCAGUAUCCUCGUCCUCAACGUGUUCGACGGAAGUCCCGUGCUCCACGACGUGCCUCUGCCGCCGCCUGCGAGGGGGAACUGGGUAUCUUACGCCUACCACAAGCGCUGCUCCUUCCUGAUCCGUGACAUCACCGUCAGCCGAAGCAAAGACUGCAUCAAGUACAUCGAGAUGGAAACUGCUCUGCCGAGAAAGCAGGAGGUGGUGACCGCUGAGGAGUACCACCCACCUGAGACCUACCUGGAAUGGUUCCACGAGAAGCCACGCCCUCAACCCCGCUGCGCUGGCUGGAGGGCCACCACAUGGAGCAUGCCGGUCCCGAUUCUGUCAUGGGAGGACUGGAGCCCCGGCUGCACCGUCAAUGCCAAUGAAAUCGUCGUCAAGCCAAUGCAUUCCAAGCUGCUGCCUGGCAGUAUCAGUGACAGUGAGCCCACCGAGGUGACGUUGCUGCCAGUCCUCACCACGGCUUUCCCCACAAUGAGUAUGGAUGAUGAUGUUGUGUACCUACUGUCCAAGGCAUGCUCCGCUGGCGAGAUGGAAGUGGUGAUUGCUGUUGACUUGAGGAAGAAGACGCUCCGAGGAGUGGGCAAGGUUGUUGCCGGAAAAGACUUCACUGACAUGCGCAGCCGCACCACCGAGAUCUCCAAGUAUCUCAAUCUGAAUAUGAGUGCAGAACUGAUGAACUGGUUAUGGUGGGAUGUGUUCAGAAAAACCCUGACACCGUCUCUCGAACCGACACUUGUUAGAUGGAGGAGUUUGAAUGAACACUGUAAAGCCAGAGGAUAUGCAUUCAAAAUGACGAACGGAGGCAUCAACAAGAUAUUUGAUGACCAAAACUAG
Molecule: ribosomal RNA, 1095 nt
Filed under: Triticum aestivum (bread wheat)
Lineage: Eukaryota; Viridiplantae; Streptophyta; Magnoliopsida; Poales; Poaceae
Description: partial small subunit ribosomal RNA
Source: RNAcentral